RNAcentral lists this unclassified non-coding RNA (272 nucleotides) under Hevea brasiliensis (rubber tree). Lineage: Eukaryota; Viridiplantae; Streptophyta; Magnoliopsida; Malpighiales; Euphorbiaceae. The record is from RNAcentral.
AGAGGAUCGUGAAACAGAUGGUAUGCCACAAUUAUUUUGGUUUUGAACACCUCUUAAAAUGAAAAAUUUCCAUCAAGCAAUUUGAUGAAAUUUGCUGGUGUGCUUAACUUCCUCAAGUUAAUUAAUACACUGGCACAUGCAGUACCAUGUCAAUGUCAAAGAAAUAUAUAUAUGCUAGUAGGCAUAUAAAAUUCUUCUUAUCUAUUUUGUAAAAAUCUAUGUUCUUACAAUAUAUUGCUAUUAUGGCAGUGGCGAGACCUGGCAUAUCACAC